AAAAUACAAAGAGAAACAAGUAUCUCGUAUCUCUUAGAACAACCUUUACUGCAUUUAAAAAUAUAUUACCAUCUCUCUACUAAUUUACUAGAUCUCCUAUUAUAUAAUAGAUAACUGACAACUACUUUAUUAACUAUUUAGGAUAAGGAUAGAUAACUUCUGAUAACCACAAGAAACUGCCAAGUAACAGUAAGAAACUGCCAACUCCUAAUAACAGUAAGAAACUGCUCAUUGCUCCAUGGGUGAAAG
This 249-nucleotide unclassified non-coding RNA is filed under the name Hevea brasiliensis (rubber tree). The record is from RNAcentral. Lineage: Eukaryota; Viridiplantae; Streptophyta; Magnoliopsida; Malpighiales; Euphorbiaceae.